RNAcentral lists this long non-coding RNA (3081 nucleotides) under Medicago truncatula (barrel medic). Its description in RNAcentral is "long non-coding RNA (MTRU_LNC008492)". Lineage: Eukaryota; Viridiplantae; Streptophyta; Magnoliopsida; Fabales; Fabaceae. The record is from RNAcentral.
UCUAAGAAAGAAAAACAUCAUAUUAUUUGAAUAACUUGGAUAUCAAGAUUUCAAUAAUGACUCAACAAACAUACAUCAUAGAAAAUGCACAGCUUGCUUCUAAUAGAGACAUUAAAAACGUUAACAGAAAUAGAGGAGGAGGAAGACCCUCCUCUGCACAGACACCACUCUUUUAUUUCCGAGCACUCUUCAAACCAAAACAUUUUUUUAACGAUAAUUAAUAAACAAUAAUUAAAAGUUAAAACAACAAAAAUAAAAAUAGCAUCAUCCUUUAUCUACUUUCUUGUUUUUUAGGUUAUGCAUUCCCUCCAGUAUAAAUACAACUAUUAUAACCUACAAAAUAAACAAAGCAUAUAUUGUAAAGUGAGCAUUCAAUUUAGUAAAAUAAUCAAAGUAGUUCAAUCGUCUAGAAAUUUAAAAUCAUAUCUUCCACACUCUCAAUUGCCAAAAUCUAAAGUGAUAAACAAGACAAAAGUCAUAUAACUUUCAGAAAACACUUCCACUUUUGUUUUUGAAACUCAGAUGUGGUGGUCAAGUCCUAUGGUUUGUUUGGGCUUUGGCUAAUCACCGGAGGUUGUUUCCUCUUGACUUUGUUACUGUGUUGUUCUCUUUGUGNGCCUGACUUGUUUAUUAAAAAGGCUAGGCUUAGGCUUUUUAAAAAGCUUAUUUAUGUAAAUAGGUCAGGCUUAGGCUAUCAAAAAAGCCUAUGAAGCCUAAUAGGUCGGCCUGUUUAUGCAUGUUAGACUUCAUAGUGAACUUUUUAAAUAGGCUUUAAAGCUUUAUAGUGAAAUAAGUUUUUAAGGCCUUAAAGUAGUGAUAGAGAAGUCUUACACUGAAAUAGGCUUUGAGGCCUACUAAGCCUAUUUAAAAGUAGAUAAAAUGGAAUGUUUAGUGACUUUAAUAGUAAGUAGGCCUGUAAAUAGGCUUUCAGGUCAGGCCAGACUUUUAAAUAGGCCAGACCAGGCCAAAAAAAUAGGCUUAUGAAAGGCUAUAGGCCAGGCUCAGGCCUGCAAAUUUUUUCGUAGGCCAGGCUCAGGCCUAUCAAAGCCUGGCCUGGCCUAGCCUAUUCCCAACCCUAUAUACGGCAAUCAUUUUCACCUCUGGAUGUACCGCAUAUAUACGAUACUUUGUAUUUAUCUUUUAAAAAAUAUAAAUAGAACAUUGCUCUUUUAAAAAAAUACGUUUUGAUUUUAUCACUGACCUCUUUUCAUUCUCAGAACCGAGCCUCCGAAUUUUCAAGGACGGCCCUGGUUUUGGUAAUAAGAUAGCUCUAAAAUUACUCGAUCAUAUUUGUCAAUUAGAUCUUACUUACAGUCCCAUAAUCUUUGAAUGGUUGAUCAAAAUAUUGACUCUUACUUGAAGAGUAUAGUACCCUUAAAGCUUCUAUCAUUUUAUUUUUGGAGAUUACUAUUGGAUAAAAUUCAUACAAGAACUGCCUUUGCUAGCAGAGGAGUUUUAUAAAUAGCUUUGGUAGUAGAGAAGUCUUGUAUUUUCUAUGAUUCUGAUGAGAACUCUUCACAUUUAUUUAUUGUGUGCACUAAUCACAUUUCCUUUCAAAAAACAAAAUUAACAAAAUUUGGUUAAUAUUAAUGCUUGAAUUGGCUUUUCUAUUAAUAAACUUGAAACAAACACACCCUUAAUUUUAAUUUUAUUUUGGGGCUUCAUUUUUGUCGUUAACGGUUAUACCAAAAUUCCCUUAAUUAAAUAAAAACAGUUAUAGCAAAAUUGCCUAUCUCAUUGCUUAUGUAUCAUCAUAACAUUCCAUUUUUAGUGAUGUAGCAGAGUGUCUCAUGCUUUAGCAAUAAUUUCUCAACAAGUUAAGUUUACCUAUAAAAGAUGACAAAAUUCUAAGAAAGAAAAACAUCAUAUUAUUUGAAUAACUUGGAUAUCAAGAUUUCAAUAAUGACUCAACAAACAUACAUCAUAGAAAAUGCACAGCUUGCUUCUAAUAGAGACAUUAAAAACGUUAACAGAAAUAGAGGAGGAGGAAGACCCUCCUCUGCACAGACACCACUCUUUUAUUUCCGAGCACUCUUCAAACCAAAACAUUUUUUUAACGAUAAUUAAUAAACAAUAAUUAAAAGUUAAAACAACAAAAAUAAAAAUAGCAUCAUCCUUUAUCUACUUUCUUGUUUUUUAGGUUAUGCAUUCCCUCCAGUAUAAAUACAACUAUUAUAACCUACAAAAUAAACAAAGCAUAUAUUGUAAAGUGAGCAUUCAAUUUAGUAAAAUAAUCAAAGUAGUUCAAUCGUCUAGAAAUUUAAAAUCAUAUCUUCCACACUCUCAAUUGCCAAAAUCUAAAGUGAUAAACAAGACAAAAGUCAUAUAACUUUCAGAAAACACUUCCACUUUUGUUUUUGAAACUCAGAUGUGGUGGUCAAGUCCUAUGGUUUGUUUGGGCUUUGGCUAAUCACCGGAGGUUGUUUCCUCUUGACUUUGUUACUGUGUUGUUCUCUUUGUGUUGUUGUUAGUGGUCUUUUGGCACACCUUGUGCGAAGAGAUUGCUAUCGCUUUUGGUAAUAUAAUUUCAUUUUGGCUUGUUCAAAAAAAAAAAAUCUAAAGGGAUAAACAAGACAAAAGUUAUUAGAAAAUGGUGUACCAAGUCAGAACCAAUUUGCCCCACUAAUAAUCAGUUAUUACCUAAUUAAUAGAGAAUACAAAAGACCCUAAUAUAGUAUUGUCUAAAAGGAACUUGCCUACUAUAAAAUGAGCUAUCCAUGGAUAAAGUAAAAAUCUACCAUUGAUUAUUGACAAGAAAAUCAAUUGAUGUUUUUUUUUUUUGGUCAAGUAGCCUAGUGGCCAGAGCUCACACAAUUUAAUUGUGGAAAAGUGGAGUGUCCGGGGUUCGAACCUCGGCCCCUGCAUAUAAAAUGCAAUAUCCCUACCAACUGAGCUAAGCUCACGGGGAUAAUCAAUUGAUGUUGUUAUUCAAACACAUUUUAUAAUUUGUUAUAAUUUUGCACAUACUAUGUUUUAUGGUUGAGAUUAUAGCUUUCUCACUAUAGAAAAAUUGAAUUUCUCAAAGAUCGGAAGAUAGGAUAUAAAAAAAUGUCGCGCAAAAACCGCAUGAGAACUUACUUG